UUUGAAAUCUGGCCCCCCGGGCCCGAGUUGUAAUUUGCAGAGGAUGCUUUUGGCGCGGUCCCCUCCGAGUCCCCUGGAAUGGGGCGCCACAGAGGGUGAGAGCCCCGUAUGGUCGGAGACCAAGCCUUUGUAAAGCUCCCUCGACGAGUCGAGUAGUUUGGGAAUGCUGCUCAAAAUGGGAGGUAAAUUUCUUCUAAAGCUAAAUACUGGCCAGAGACCGAUAGCGCACAAGUAGAGUGAUCGAAAGAUGAAAAGCACUUUGAAAAGAGGGUUAAACAGCACGUGAAAUUGUUGAAAGGGAAGCGCUUGUGACCAGACUUGCGCCGGGCGGAUCAUCCAGCGUUCUCCGCUGGUGCACUCCGUCCGGCUCAGGCCAGCAUCGGUCUCCGGCGGGGGACAAAAGCUCCGGGAACGUGGCCUCUUCUUAAGAGGUGUUAUAGCCCGGCUGCAGAAUACCCCGCCUCGGGGACCGAGGACCGCGCCCUCCGGGGCAAGGAUGCUGGCGUAAUGGUCAUCAGCGACCCGUCUUGAAACACGGACCAAGGAGUCGAGCAUUAGGGCGAGUGUAUGGGUGUAAAACCCGCACGCGUAAUGAAAGUGAACGUGGGUGAGAAGCUUUUCUUUCACGAGAAGCCGCAUCAUCGACCGAUCCUGAAGUCUUCGGAUGGAUUUGAGUAGGAGCCUUAACGCUCGGACCCGAAAGAUGGUGAACUAUGCCUGGAUAGGGUGAAGCCAGAGGAAACUCUGGUGGAGGCUCGCAGCGGUUCUGACGUGCAAAUCGAUCGUCAAAUUUGGGCAUAGGGGCGAAAGACUAAUCGAACCAUCUAGUAGCUGGUUACCGCCGAAGUUUCCCUCAGGA
Molecule: ribosomal RNA, 859 nt
Filed under: Pseudohalonectria lutea
Lineage: Eukaryota; Fungi; Ascomycota; Sordariomycetes; Magnaporthales; Ophioceraceae
Description: partial large subunit ribosomal RNA
Rfam family: Eukaryotic large subunit ribosomal RNA
Source: RNAcentral